UACGUAGGUGGCGAGCGUUGUCCGGAUUUACUGGGCGUAAAGGGCGUGCAGGCGGUUUGUUAAGUGCAGGGUGAAAGCUCCCGGCUCAACUGGGAGAGGUCCUUGCAUACUGGCGAACUCGGGGGAGGCAGAGGAAAGUGGAAUUCCCGGUGUAGUGGUGAUAUGCGUAGAUAUCGGGAGGAACACCUGUGGCGAAGGCGGCUUUCUGGGCCUUACCUGACGCUGAGACGCGAAAGCGUGGGGAGCGAACCGG
This 253-nucleotide ribosomal RNA is filed under the name uncultured bacterium. Its description in RNAcentral is "partial 16S ribosomal RNA". It matches the Rfam family "Bacterial small subunit ribosomal RNA", at positions 524 to 776 of the family's 1533-position model. The record is from RNAcentral.